AGCACCCGCGGUAAAUCCAGCUCCAAUAGCGUAUAUUAAAUUUGUUGCAGUUAAAAAGCUCGUAGUUGAAUUUCGAGAUCAAAUUGUUGGUCGUGCCUCGGUACGCACUGGCAUUAUUGAUUUCUCCCUUCUGAAGAACCUUGAUGUCAUUAAUUUGGUGUCUUGGGGAAUCAGGACCGUUACUUUGAAAAAAUUAGAGUGUUUAAAGCAGGCUCACGCUUGAAUACAUUAGCAUGGAAUAAUGAAAUAGGACGUUUGAUUCUAUUUUGUUGGUUUCUAGGAUCGACGUAAUGAUUGAUAGGGAUAGUUGGGGGCAUUAGUAUUCAAUUGUCAGAGGUGAAAUUCUUGGAUUUAUUGAAGACUAACUACUGCGAAAGCAUUUGCCAAGGAUGUUUUCAUU
RNAcentral lists this ribosomal RNA (400 nucleotides) under uncultured Glomeromycotina. RNAcentral's name for it is "SSU rRNA". It matches the Rfam family "Eukaryotic small subunit ribosomal RNA", at positions 569 to 974 of the family's 1831-position model. Lineage: Eukaryota; Fungi; Glomeromycota. The record is from RNAcentral.